CUAGUAACUGCGAGUGAAGCGGGAAAAGCUCAAAUUUGAAAUCUGGCAGUCUUUUUUUUCUUCUUUGGCUGUCCGAGUUGUAAUCUAGAGAAGUGCUUACCUGCACUGGACCAUGUAUAAGUCUCCUGGAAUGGAGCGUCGCAGAGGGUGAGAAUCCCGUCUUUGACAUGGACUGCCAGUGUGUUGUGGUGUGCUCUCAAAGAGUCGAGUUGUUUGGGAAUGCAGCUCUAAAUGGGUGGUAAACUCCAUCUAAAGCUAAAUAUUGGCGAGAGACCGAUAGUGAACAAGUACCGUGAGGGAAAGAUGAAAAGGACUUUGGAAAGAGAGUUAAACAGUAUGUGAAAUUGUUGAAAGGGAAACGCUUGAAGUCAGUUAUGUUGGCUAGGGAUCAACCUAGCUACUUUUGCUGGGUGAAUUUCCUAGUCUUACAGGCCAACAUCAGUCUUGACUGCUAGAAAAGAGCAGAGGGAAUGUGGCACCUUUGGGUGUGUUAUAGCCCUUUGUCAUAUGUGGCAGUCGGGACUGAGGGAUGCAGCAUGCCGCGAGGCUGGGUUUCUGACCACGUUCAUGCUUAGGAUGUUGGCUUUUAAUGGCUUCAAUCGACCCGUCUUGAAACACGGACCAAGGAGUCUAACAUGCCUGCGAGUGUUUGGGUGGGGAAAACCCUUGUGCACAAUGAAAGUGAAAGUUGAGAUCCCUGUCAUGGGGAGCAUCGACGCCCGGACUUGAGCUUUUAGCAACGGAUCCGCGGUAGAGCAUGCAUGUUGGGACCCGAAAGAUGGUGAACUAUGCCUGAAUAGGGCAAAGCCAGAGGAAACUCUGGUGGAGGCUCGUAGCGAUUCUGACGUGCAAAUCGAUCGUCAAAUUUGGGUAUAGGGGCGAAAGACUAAUCG
Molecule: ribosomal RNA, 893 nt
Filed under: Amanita battarrae
Lineage: Eukaryota; Fungi; Basidiomycota; Agaricomycetes; Agaricales; Amanitaceae
Description: eukaryotic LSU rRNA
Rfam family: Eukaryotic large subunit ribosomal RNA
Source: RNAcentral